ACGAACGCUGGCGGCAGGCUUAACACAUGCAAGUCGAGCGGGCCCUUCGGGGUCAGCGGCAGACGGGUGAGUAACACGUGGGAACGUACCUUUUGGUUCGGAACAACUCCGGGAAACUGGAGCUAAUACCGGAUAAGCCCUUAGGGGGAAAGAUUUAUCGCCAAAAGAUCGGCCCGCGUCUGAUUAGCUAGUUGGUGGGGUAACGGCCCACCAAGGCGACGAUCAGUAGCUGGUCUGAGAGGAUGAUCAGCCACACUGGGACUGAGACACGGCCCAGACUCCUACGGGAGGCAGCAGUGGGGAAUAUUGGACAAUGGGCGCAAGCCUGAUCCAGCCAUGCCGCGUGAGUGAUGAAGGCCUUAGGGUUGUAAAGCUCUUUUGUCCGGGAAGAUAAUGACUGUACCGGAAGAAUAAGCCCCGGCUAACUUCGUG
Molecule: ribosomal RNA, 432 nt
Filed under: uncultured bacterium
Lineage: Bacteria
Description: partial 16S ribosomal RNA
Rfam family: Bacterial small subunit ribosomal RNA
Source: RNAcentral